Molecule: unclassified non-coding RNA, 302 nt
Organism: Cebus imitator (Panamanian white-faced capuchin)
Lineage: Eukaryota; Metazoa; Chordata; Mammalia; Primates; Cebidae
Rfam family: Metazoan signal recognition particle RNA
About the family: The signal recognition particle (SRP) is a universally conserved ribonucleoprotein. It is involved in the co-translational targeting of proteins to membranes.
Source: Ensembl
UCCAGGUGUGGAGGUGCCUGCCUGUAGUCCCAGCUACUCGUGAGGCUGAGGUGUGAGGAUCGCUUGAGCUUAGGAAUUUGGGAGCUAUGGUUCACUAUGCUGACAGGGUGCCCACACUAAGUUCAGGACCAAUAUGGUGACCUUCCAGCAACGAGGGACCAACAGGUUGCCUGAAGUGGGUGAACCAGCCCAAGUUAAAAACAGAGCAGAUCAAAACUCCCAUGCUGGUCAGUAGUGAGUGAUAUAAUUUGGCUCUGUGUCUGCACCCAAAUCUCAUCUUGAAUUGUAAUCCCCACGUGUCA